AAUAGAUACCCCCGGUAGUCCACGCCGUAAACGAUGAGUGCUAAGUGUUGGGGGGGUUUCCGCCCCUCAGUGCUGCAGCUAACGCAUUAAGCACUCCGCCUGGGGAGUACGGUCGCAAGACUGAAACUCAAAGGAAUUGACGGGGGCCCGCACAAGCGGUGGAGCAUGUGGUUUAAUUCGAAGCAACGCGAAGAACCUUACCAGGUCUUGACAUCCCGGUGACCACUAUGGAGACAUAGUCUCCCCUUCGGGGGCAACGGUGACAGGUGGUGCAUGGUUGUCGUCAGCUCGUGUCGUGAGAUGUUGGGUUAAGUCCCGCAACGAGCGCAACCCUUAUUCUUAGUUGCCAUCAUUCAGUUGGGCACUCUAAGGAGACUGCCGGUGAUAAACCGGAGGAAGGUGGGGAUGACGUCAAAUCAUCAUGCCCCUUAUGACCUGGGCUACACACGUGCUACAAUGGACGGUACAAACGGUUGCCAACCCGCGAGGGGAGCUAAUCCGAUAAAACCGUUCUCAGUUCGGAUUGUAGGCUGAAACUCGCCUCUUGAACGG
RNAcentral lists this ribosomal RNA (552 nucleotides) under uncultured bacterium. RNAcentral describes it as "bacterial SSU rRNA". It matches the Rfam family "Bacterial small subunit ribosomal RNA", at positions 777 to 1326 of the family's 1533-position model. The record is from RNAcentral.